This 73-nucleotide transfer RNA is filed under the name Oharaeibacter diazotrophicus. It matches the Rfam family "tRNA". From Rfam's summary of the family: Transfer RNA (tRNA) molecules are approximately 80 nucleotides in length. The record is from Rfam by way of RNAcentral. Lineage: Bacteria; Pseudomonadati; Pseudomonadota; Alphaproteobacteria; Hyphomicrobiales; Pleomorphomonadaceae.
GGGCGGUUAGCUCAGUUGGUAGAGCGCCUGCUUUACACGCAGGAUGUCGGGGGUUCGAGACCCUCACCGCCCA